Molecule: ribosomal RNA, 324 nt
Filed under: Clostridioides difficile
Lineage: Bacteria; Bacillati; Bacillota; Clostridia; Peptostreptococcales; Peptostreptococcaceae
Description: partial 23S ribosomal RNA
Rfam family: Bacterial large subunit ribosomal RNA
Source: RNAcentral
GGAUGUGAUGGGGAGCGAAAUUUAGUAGCGAAGUAGCUGAUUUCACACUGUCAAGAAAAGUCUCUAUCGAGGUUAAAGGUACCCGUACCGCAAACCGACACAGGUGGGUGAGGAGAGUAUCCUAAGGCCAGCGAGAGAACUGUUGUUAAGGAACUCGGCAAAAUGACCCCGUAACUUAGGGAUAAGGGGUGCCACCAUCCGGUGGCCGCAGAGAAUAGGCCCAAGCGACUGUUUACCAAAAACAUAGGUUUCUGCUAAGUCGCAAGACGAUGUAUAGGAGCUGACGCCUGCCCGGUGCUGGAAGGUUAAGGGGAUCUGUUAGAG